Pundamilia nyererei is the source of this 579-nucleotide long non-coding RNA. RefSeq lists it as uncharacterized. The record is from RefSeq and is a predicted model, not a curated record. The transcript has 4 exons. Lineage: Eukaryota; Metazoa; Chordata; Actinopteri; Cichliformes; Cichlidae.
CAGUCUUCAAACAGAAAUCUGCUUUUCAACCACCUUCGAGCGGAUGUUAAUUGCUAUCACAACAACUCGACUUGAUUCAUGACAGUUUUUUCUGUCAAGAAAUAAACAGUUCUACACAAGAGGAUCAUCACGAUUAUUAUGAUAAUGAUUGCAUGGUUGUUAUUGCUCUCACUCUUCGGAAAAAGUACACAAGAUGGACAAGAAAACGGAAUUCCAAAGAAAAUUGGUUGGCUUUGAGUAAUAGUGUUAUCGAUGUCAUGCACAGUUUGCAUUGAGCUAGCAUCACUGAGCUGAAGAACAAAGCCGAGGUGUGUUGUGUUGUGGACCUCAGAAUGUAACUCUUGCCCACAACGAUCAGACACUCCUGUUAAAGUGGGAAGAUGACCCUUCUUGCUCUGUUAUACGAGAUGGGCUCGUGUACGAGCUGCAGCUUCUCAUAGCAGACAAACCUGAACACAAUGGUGAAGUUGUUGUGGCACCUGCACAGAUAGGAUCUACUCAUUCCUGGAAAUGGACUUCCCAUUUACCAUCGCAGUGUGCUCGCCAUUCAGUCCGGCUCAGGUCCCAAUACAACAACCA